CUCCUACGGGGCGCAGCAGUAGGGAAUUUUCGUCAAUGGGCGCAAGCCUGAACGAGCGAUGCCGCGUGAGUGAAGAAGGCCUUCGGGUCGUAAAGCUCUGUUGCGGGGGAAAAAAGGCAGCAUCAGGAAAUGGGUGCUGACUGAUGGUGCCCCGCCAGAAAGUCACGGCUAACUACGUGCCAGCAGCCGCGGUAAUACGUAGGUGGCGAGCGUUAUCCGGAUUUAUUGGGUUUAAAGGGUGCGCAGGCGGCACGGCAAGCCGGCGGUCAAAUCGCGGGGCUCAACCCCGCCCAGCCGUCGGAACU
This 305-nucleotide ribosomal RNA is filed under the name uncultured bacterium. RNAcentral describes it as "bacterial SSU rRNA". It matches the Rfam family "Bacterial small subunit ribosomal RNA", at positions 336 to 634 of the family's 1533-position model. The record is from RNAcentral.